This 899-nucleotide ribosomal RNA is filed under the name Salmonella enterica subsp. enterica. RNAcentral's name for it is "partial 23S ribosomal RNA". It matches the Rfam family "Bacterial large subunit ribosomal RNA", at positions 2037 to 2925 of the family's 2925-position model. The record is from RNAcentral. Lineage: Bacteria; Pseudomonadati; Pseudomonadota; Gammaproteobacteria; Enterobacterales; Enterobacteriaceae.
UGAAAUUGAACUCGCUGUGAAGAUGCAGUGUACCCGCGGCAAGACGGAAAGACCCCGUGAACCUUUACUAUAGCUUGACACUGAACAUUGAGCCUUGAUGUGUAGGAUAGGUGGGAGGCUUUGAAGUGUGGACGCCAGUCUGCAUGGAGCCGACCUUGAAAUACCACCCUUUAAUGUUUGAUGUUCUAACGUGGACCCGUAAUCCGGGUUGCGGACAGUGUCUGGUGGGUAGUUUGACUGGGGCGGUCUCCUCCUAAAGAGUAACGGAGGAGCACGAAGGUUGGCUAAUCCUGGUCGGACAUCAGGAGGUUAGUGCAAUGGCAUAAGCCAGCUUGACUGCGAGCGUGACGGCGCGAGCAGGUGCGAAAGCAGGUCAUAGUGAUCCGGUGGUUCUGAAUGGAAGGGCCAUCGCUCAACGGAUAAAAGGUACUCCGGGGAUAACAGGCUGAUACCGCCCAAGAGUUCAUAUCGACGGCGGUGUUUGGCACCUCGAUGUCGGCUCAUCACAUCCUGGGGCUGAAGUAGGUCCCAAGGGUAUGGCUGUUCGCCAUUUAAAGUGGUACGCGAGCUGGGUUUAGAACGUCGUGAGACAGUUCGGUCCCUAUCUGCCGUGGGCGCUGGAGAACUGAGGGGGGCUGCUCCUAGUACGAGAGGACCGGAGUGGACGCAUCACUGGUGUUCGGGUUGUCAUGCCAAUGGCACUGCCCGGUAGCUAAAUGCGGAAGAGAUAAGUGCUGAAAGCAUCUAAGCACGAAACUUGCCCCGAGAUGAGUUCUCCCUGAGACUUAGAGUCUCCUGAAGGAACGUUGAAGACGACGACGUUGAUAGGCCGGGUGUGUAAGCGCAGCGAUGCGUUGAGCUAACCGGUACUAAUGAACCGUGAGGCUUAACCUUACAAC